UCCGAUGGUGAACCUGCGGAGGGAUCAUUACCGAGUUAUACAACUCCCAAACCCACUGUGAACCUUACCUCAGUUGCCUCGGCGGGAACGCCCCGGCCGCCUGCCCCCGCGCCGGCGCCGGACCCAGGCGCCCGCCGCAGGGACCCCAAACUCUCUUGCAUUACGCCCAGCGGGCGGAAUUUCUUCUCUGAGUUGCACAAGCAAAAACAAAUGAAUCAAAACUUUCAACAACGGAUCUCUUGGUUCUGGCAUCGAUGAAGAACGCAGCGAAAUGCGAUAAGUAAUGUGAAUUGCAGAAUUCAGUGAAUCAUCGAAUCUUUGAACGCACAUUGCGCCCGCCAGCAUUCUGGCGGGCAUGCCUGUUCGAGCGUCAUUUCAACCCUCGAGCCCCCCCGGGGGCCUCGGUGUUGGGGGACGGCACACCAGCCGCCCCCGAAAUGCAGUGGCGACCCCGCCGCAGCCUCCCCUGCGUAGUAGCACACACCUCGCACCGGAGCGCGGAGGCGGUCACGCCGUAAAACGCCCAACUUUCUUAGAGUUGACCUCGGAUCAGGUAGGAAUACCCGCUGAACUUAAGCAUAUCAAUAAGCGGAGGA
This 596-nucleotide ribosomal RNA is filed under the name Purpureocillium lilacinum. Its description in RNAcentral is "eukaryotic LSU rRNA". The stretch from base 220 to 373 matches the Rfam family "5.8S ribosomal RNA". Lineage: Eukaryota; Fungi; Ascomycota; Sordariomycetes; Hypocreales; Ophiocordycipitaceae. The record is from RNAcentral.